GGGUUGUGAGGUUAAGCGACUAAGCGUACACGGUGGAUGCCCUGGCAGUCAGAGGCGAUGAAGGGCGUGCUAAUCUGCGAUAAGCGCCGGUAAGGUGAUAUGAACCGUUAUAACCGGCGAUACCCGAAUGGGGAAACCCAGUGUGAUUCGUCACACUAUCAUUAACUGAAUCCAUAGGUUAAUGAGGCGAACCGGGGGAACUGAAACAUCUAAGUACCCCGAGGAAAAGAAAUCAACCGAGAUUCCCCCAGUAGCGGCGAGCGAACGGGGAGGAGCCCAGAGCCUGAAUCAGCAUGUGUGUUAGUGGAAGCGUCUGGAAAGGCGCGCGAUACAGGGUGACAGCCCCGUACACAAAAGCGCAUGUGCUGUGAGCUCGAUGAGUAGGGCGGGACACGUGGUAUCCUGUCUGAAUAUGGGGGGACCAUCCUCCAAGGCUAAAUACUCCUGACUGACCGAUAGUGAACCAGUACCGUGAGGGAAAGGCGAAAAGAACCCCGGCGAGGGGAGUGAAAAAGAACCUGAAACCGUGUACGUACAAGCAGUGGGAGCNNNNNNNNNNNNNNNNNNNNNNNNGGGCGUUAAGUUGCAGGGUAUAGACCCGAAACCCGGUGAUCUAGCCAUGGGCAGGUUGAAGGUUGGGUAACACUAACUGGAGGACCGAACCGACUAAUGUUGAAAAAUUAGCGGAUGACCUGUGGCUGGGGGUGAAAGGCCAAUCAAACCGGGAGAUAGCUGGUUCUCCCCGAAAGCUAUUUAGGUAGCGCCUCGUGAAUUCAUCUCCGGGGGUAGAGCACUGUUUCGGCUAGGGGGCCAUCCCGGCUUACCAACCCGAUGCAAACUGCGAAUACCGGAGAAUGUUAUCACGGGAGACACACGGCGGGUGCUAACGUCCGUCGUGAAGAGGGAAACAACCCAGACCGCCAGCUAAGGUCCCAAAGUCAUGGUUAAGUGGGAAACGAUGUGGGAAGGCCCAGACAGCCAGGAUGUUGGCUUAGAAGCAGCCAUCAUUUAAAGAAAGCGUAAUAGCUCACUGGUCGAGUCGGCCUGCGCGGAAGAUGUAACGGGGCUAAACCAUGCACCGAAGCUGCGGCAGCGACACUGUGUGUUGUUGGGUAGGGGAGCGUUCUGUAAGCCUGUGAAGGUGUGUCGUGAGGCAUGCUGGAGGUAUCAGAAGUGCGAAUGCUGACAUAAGUAACGAUAAAGCGGGUGAAAAGCCCGCUCGCCGGAAGACCAAGGGUUCCUGUCCAACGUUAAUCGGGGCAGGGUGAGUCGACCCCUAAGGCGAGGCCGAAAGGCGUAGUCGAUGGGAAACGGGUUAAUAUUCCCGUACUUGGUGUUACUGCGAAGGGGGGACGGAGAAGGCUAUGUUGGCCGGGCGACGGUUGUCCCGGUUUAAGCGUGUAGGUGUGUGUUCCAGGUAAAUCCGGUUCACUUUAACACUGAGGCGUGACGACGAGGCACUACGGUGCUGAAGCAACAAAUGCCCUGCUUCCAGGAAAAGCCUCUAAGCAUCAGGUAACAUCAAAUCGUACCCCAAACCGACACAGGUGGUCAGGUAGAGAAUACCAAGGCGCUUGAGAGAACUCGGGUGAAGGAACUAGGCAAAAUGGUGCCGUAACUUCGGGAGAAGGCACGCUGACACGUAGGUGAAGUGAUUUACUCAUGGAGCUGAAGUCAGUCGAAGAUACCAGCUGGCUGCAACUGUUUAUUAAAAACACAGCACUGUGCAAACACGAAAGUGGACGUAUACGGUGUGACGCCUGCCCGGUGCCGGAAGGUUAAUUGAUGGGGUCAGCGCAAGCGAAGCUCCUGAUCGAAGCCCCGGUAAACGGCGGCCGUAACUAUAACGGUCCUAAGGUAGCGAAAUUCCUUGUCGGGUAAGUUCCGACCUGCACGAAUGGCGUAAUGAUGGCCAGGCUGUCUCCACCCGAGACUCAGUGAAAUUGAACUCGCUGUGAAGAUGCAGUGUACCCGCGGCAAGACGGAAAGACCCCGUGAACCUUUACUAUAGCUUGACACUGAACAUUGAGCCUUGAUGUGUAGGAUAGGUGGGAGGCUUUGAAGUGUGGACGCCAGUCUGCAUGGAGCCGACCUUGAAAUACCACCCUUUAAUGUUUGAUGUUCUAACGUGGACCCGUUACCCGGGUUGCGGACAGUGUCUGGUGGGUAGUUUGACUGGGGCGGUCUCCUCCUAAAGAGUAACGGAGGAGCACGAAGGUUGGCUAAUCCUGGUCGGACAUCAGGAGGUUAGUGCAAUGGCAUAAGCCAGCUUGACUGCGAGCGUGACGGCGCGAGCAGGUGCGAAAGCAGGUCAUAGUGAUCCGGUGGUUCUGAAUGGAAGGGCCAUCGCUCAACGGAUAAAAGGUACUCCGGGGAUAACAGGCUGAUACCGCCCAAGAGUUCAUAUCGACGGCGGUGUUUGGCACCUCGAUGUCGGCUCAUCACAUCCUGGGGCUGAAGUAGGUCCCAAGGGUAUGGCUGUUCGCCAUUUAAAGUGGUACGCGAGCUGGGUUUAGAACGUCGUGAGACAGUUCGGUCCCUAUCUGCCGUGGGCGCUGGAGAACUGAGGGGGGCUGCUCCUAGUACGAGAGGACCGGAGUGGACGCAUCACUGGUGUUCGGGUUGUCAUGCCAAUGGCACUGCCCGGUAGCUAAAUGCGGAAGAGAUAAGUGCUGAAAGCAUCUAAGCACGAAACUUGCCCCGAGAUGAGUUCUCCCUGAGACUUAGAGUCUCCUGAAGGAACGUUGAAGACGACGACGUUGAUAGGCCGGGUGUGUAAGCGCAGCGAUGCGUUGAGCUAACCGGUACUAAUGAACCGUGAGGCUUAACCUUACAACGCCGAAG
Molecule: ribosomal RNA, 2844 nt
Filed under: Salmonella enterica subsp. enterica serovar Enteritidis
Lineage: Bacteria; Pseudomonadati; Pseudomonadota; Gammaproteobacteria; Enterobacterales; Enterobacteriaceae
Description: bacterial LSU rRNA
Rfam family: Bacterial large subunit ribosomal RNA
Source: RNAcentral